This 252-nucleotide ribosomal RNA is filed under the name uncultured bacterium. Its description in RNAcentral is "partial 16S ribosomal RNA". It matches the Rfam family "Bacterial small subunit ribosomal RNA", at positions 525 to 776 of the family's 1533-position model. The record is from RNAcentral.
ACGGAGGGUGCGAGCGUUGUCCGGAAUCACUGGGCGUAAAGGGCGCGUAGGCGGUCUGCUAAGCGUGUGGUGAAAGCUCGGGGCUCAACCCCGAGUCGGCCAUGCGAACUGGUGGACUAGAGCACUGUAGAGGCAGGUGGAAUUCCGGGUGUAGCGGUGGAAUGCGUAGAGAUCCGGAAGAACACCGGUGGCGAAGGCGGCCUGCUGGGCAGUAGCUGACGCUGAGGCGCGAUAGCGUGGGGAGCAAACAGG